CAGUCGCCGCGGUAAUACAGAGGAUGCAAGCGUUAUCCGGAAUGAUUGGGCGUAAAGCGUCUGUAGGUGGCUUUUCAAGUCCGCCGUCAAAUCCCAGGGCUCAACCCUGGACAGGCGGUGGAAACUACCAAGCUGGAGUACGGUAGGGACAGAGGGAAUUUCCGGUGGAGCGGUGAAAUGCGUUGAGAUGUGGAGGAACACCAGUGGCUAAGGCGACUCUCUGGUCUGUAACUGACGCUGAGGAGCGAAAGCGUGGGGAGCGAGCAGGAUUAGAGACCCCUGUAGUCCCUGUCUCUUAUAC
Molecule: ribosomal RNA, 301 nt
Filed under: uncultured bacterium
Lineage: Bacteria
Description: partial 16S ribosomal RNA
Rfam family: Bacterial small subunit ribosomal RNA
Source: RNAcentral